RNAcentral lists this ribosomal RNA (253 nucleotides) under uncultured bacterium. RNAcentral describes it as "partial 16S ribosomal RNA". It matches the Rfam family "Bacterial small subunit ribosomal RNA", at positions 524 to 776 of the family's 1533-position model. The record is from RNAcentral.
UACGAAGGGGGCUAGCGUUGUUCGGAAUUACUGGGCGUAAAGCGCGCGUAGGCGGCACUGUCAGUCAGAGGUGAAAUCCCAGGGCUCAACCCUGGAACUGCCUUUGAUACUGCAGAGCUAGAGCUCGGAAGAGGGUGGCGGAAUACCCAGUGUAGAGGUGAAAUUCGUAGAUAUUGGGUAGAACACCAGUGGCGAAGGCGGCCACCUGGUCCGUAGCUGACGCUGAGGUGCGAAAGCGUGGGGAGCAAACAGG